Small nucleolar RNA from Sorex araneus (European shrew), 213 nucleotides. Its record names the gene U3. It matches the Rfam family "Small nucleolar RNA U3". Rfam says of the family: Small nucleolar RNAs (snoRNAs) are involved in the processing and modification of rRNA in the nucleolus. There are two main classes of snoRNAs: the box C/D class, and the box H/ACA class. NCBI's taxonomy places the organism in Eukaryota, Metazoa, Chordata, Mammalia, Eulipotyphla, Soricidae. The record is from Ensembl.
AAGGCUAUACUUUCAGAGAUGAUUUCUAGCGUUCAUUAUUAGAGAACUUUCUCUGAUCGUGUAGGACACCUGAAACCAUGGAGAGGACCCUGCACAUCUUCUCCUGAGCACAAAGCCAGUCCUCGGUGUUGCUUUUGCAACUGCCUUUUACCACUAAUGAUUAUUCUCGUCUUCCCUUGGGAGAGGGAGAGGAAGAAGAUGCCGUCUAAGUGG